Molecule: ribosomal RNA, 332 nt
Filed under: uncultured Acinetobacter sp.
Lineage: Bacteria; Pseudomonadati; Pseudomonadota; Gammaproteobacteria; Moraxellales; Moraxellaceae
Description: bacterial SSU rRNA
Rfam family: Bacterial small subunit ribosomal RNA
Source: RNAcentral
CAGAUUGAACGCUGGCGGCAGGCUUAACACAUGCAAGUCGAGCGGGCGAGGUUGCUUCGGUAACUGAGCUAGCGGCGGACGGGUGAGUAAAGCUUAGGAAUCUGCCUAUUAGUGGGGGACAACAUUUCGAAAGGGAUGCUAAUACCGCAUACGUCCUACGGGAGAAAGCAGGGGACCUUCGGGCCUUGCGCUAAUAGAUGAGCCUAAGUCGGAUUAGCUAGUUGGUGGGGUAAAGGCCUACCAAGGCGACGAUCUGUAGCGGGUCUGAGAGGAUGAUCCGCCACACUGGGACUGAGACACGGCCCAGACUCCUACGGGAGGCAGCAGAAGGG